CCUACGGGAGGCAGCAGUGAGGAAUAUUGGUCAAUGGCCGUAAGGCUGAACCAGCCAAGUCGCGUGAAGGAAGAAGGAUCUAUGGUUUGUAAACUUCUUUUAUAGGGGAAUAAAGGUAUCCACGUGUGGAUAUUUGCAUGUACCCUAUGAAUAAGCAUCGGCUAACUCCGUGCCAGCAGCCGCGGUAAUACGGAGGAUGCGAGCGUUAUCCGGAUUUAUUGGGUUUAAAGGGUGCGUAGGUUGUUUUUUAAGUCAGCGGUGAAAGUUUGGGGCUCAACCAUAAAAUUGCCGUUGAAACUGGAAGACUUGAGUGUGUUUGAGGUAGGCGGAAUGCGUGGUGUAGCGGUGAAAUGCAUAGAUAUCACGCAGAACUCCGAUUGCGAAGGCAGCUUACUAGGCCAUAACUGACACUGAAGCACGAAAGCGUGGGGAGCAAACAGGAUUAGAUACCCGAGUAGUC
Molecule: ribosomal RNA, 460 nt
Filed under: uncultured bacterium
Lineage: Bacteria
Description: partial 16S ribosomal RNA
Rfam family: Bacterial small subunit ribosomal RNA
Source: RNAcentral